CUGCUCAGAGAGGGGGACAACAGUUGGAAACGACUGCUAAUACCGCAUAAGCCCACGGGUCGGCAUCGACCUGAGGGAAAAGGAGUGAUCCGCUUUGAGAUGGCCUCGCGUCCGAUUAGCUAGUUGGUGAGGUAACGGCCCACCAAGGCAACGAUCGGUAGCCGGACUGAGAGGUUGAACGGCCACAUUGGGACUGAGACACGGCCCAG
RNAcentral lists this ribosomal RNA (209 nucleotides) under uncultured Oscillospiraceae bacterium. RNAcentral's name for it is "partial 16S ribosomal RNA". It matches the Rfam family "Bacterial small subunit ribosomal RNA", at positions 127 to 334 of the family's 1533-position model. Lineage: Bacteria; Bacillati; Bacillota; Clostridia; Eubacteriales; Oscillospiraceae. The record is from RNAcentral.